Molecule: ribosomal RNA, 403 nt
Filed under: Shigella flexneri
Lineage: Bacteria; Pseudomonadati; Pseudomonadota; Gammaproteobacteria; Enterobacterales; Enterobacteriaceae
Description: partial 23S ribosomal RNA
Rfam family: Bacterial large subunit ribosomal RNA
Source: RNAcentral
UGGUUCUGAAUGGAAGGGCCAUCGCUCAACGGAUAAAAGGUACUCCGGGGAUAACAGGCUGAUACCGCCCAAGAGUUCAUAUCGACGGCGGUGUUUGGCACCUCGAUGUCGGCUCAUCACAUCCUGGGGCUGAAGUAGGUCCCAAGGGUAUGGCUGUUCGCCAUUUAAAGUGGUACGCGAGCUGGGUUUAGAACGUCGUGAGACAGUUCGGUCCCUAUCUGCCGUGGGCGCUGGAGAACUGAGGGGGGCUGCUCCUAGUACGAGAGGACCGGAGUGGACGCAUCACUGGUGUUCGGGUUGUCAUGCCAAUGGCACUGCCCGGUAGCUAAAUGCGGAAGAGAUAAGUGCUGAAAGCAUCUAAGCACGAAACUUGCCCCGAGAUGAGUUCUCCCUGACCCUUUAA